GCCGAACAACAUUGACAAUAUGCUACUCUUUUUAUGGAAAUACGAAGAACAGAAAGCGCAGAAACCGUACGCAAGCGAUAAUAAAGAUCCACGACGAGCAAAGCCGAAUUUCAUAGCACCGGAUGAAGAACAACUUGUCCAUACUGAGUAGAUCUGUAGAGCUUGAGCCUGUCAAAGCAAUCCUUAGCAGUAUACUUAAAUUGUUGUUGAUGUAUUUGUUGAGAUCUGU
RNAcentral lists this long non-coding RNA (229 nucleotides) under Capsicum annuum. RNAcentral describes it as "long non-coding RNA (CANN_LNC009152)". Lineage: Eukaryota; Viridiplantae; Streptophyta; Magnoliopsida; Solanales; Solanaceae. The record is from RNAcentral.